Molecule: non-coding RNA, 69 nt
Organism: Rattus norvegicus (Norway rat)
Lineage: Eukaryota; Metazoa; Chordata; Mammalia; Rodentia; Muridae
Source: Rfam
GGGGAUUUAGCUCAGUGGUAGAGCGCUUGCCUAGCAAGCAUAAGGCCCUGGGUUCGGUCCCCAGCUCUG